RNAcentral lists this ribosomal RNA (382 nucleotides) under uncultured eukaryote. RNAcentral's name for it is "partial 18S ribosomal RNA". It matches the Rfam family "Eukaryotic small subunit ribosomal RNA", at positions 592 to 976 of the family's 1831-position model. The record is from RNAcentral.
CAAUAGCGUAUAUUAAAGUUGUUGCAGUUAAAAAGCUCGUAGUUGGAUUUCUGGUUGAAGCGACCGGUCGGGCGUUGAUUCGUCUGCACUAGAGUCGGUUUUGGCCAUCCUCUAGGAAAGUGCGUCUGGUAUUAAGUUAUCGGGCGUAUGAUCCUGGUCUUUUACUGUGAAAAAAUUAGAGUGUUUAAAGCAGGCCUUCGCCUUGAAUACAUUAGCAUGGAAUAAUAAGAUAGGACUUUGGUCUAUUUUGUUGGUUUGCAGACCGAAGUAAUGAUUAAUAGGGAUAGUUGGGGGUAUUUAUAUUCCGAUGUCAGAGGUGAAAUUCUUAGAUUUUCGGAAGAUAAACUUAUGCGAAAGCAUUUACCAAGGAUGUUUUCAUUAA